This 345-nucleotide unclassified non-coding RNA is filed under the name soil metagenome. Its description in RNAcentral is "partial contains 5.8S ribosomal RNA, internal transcribed spacer 2, and large subunit ribosomal RNA". The stretch from base 1 to 119 matches the Rfam family "5.8S ribosomal RNA", at positions 35 to 154 of the family's 154-position model. The record is from RNAcentral.
GAUGAAGAACGUAGUGAAAUGCGAUACGUAAUGUGAAUUGCAAAUUCAGUGAAUCAUCGAGUCUUUGAACGCACAUUGCGCCCCCUGGUAUUCCGGGGGGCAUGCCUGUCCGAGCGUCAUUGCUGCCCUCAAGCACGGCUUGUGUGUUGGGCCCCGUCCUCCGAUCCCGGGGGACGGGCCCGAAAGGCAGCGGCGGCACCGCGUCCGGUCCUCGAGCGUAUGGGGCUUUGUCACCCGCUCUGUAGGCCCGGCCGGCGCUCGCCGAUCAACCCAAAUUUUUAUCCAGGUUGACCUCGGAUCAGGUAGGGAUACCCGCUGAACUUAAGCAUAUCAAUAAGCGGAGGA